Molecule: ribosomal RNA, 388 nt
Filed under: uncultured bacterium
Lineage: Bacteria
Description: bacterial SSU rRNA
Rfam family: Bacterial small subunit ribosomal RNA
Source: RNAcentral
AUUGAACGCUGGCGGCAUGCCUUACACAUGCAAGUCGAACGGCAGCGGACCUUCGGGUGCCGGCGAGUGGCGAACGGGUGAGUAAUAUAUCGGAACGUACCUUUCAGUGGGGGAUAACGUAGCGAAAGUUACGCUAAUACCGCAUAUUCUGUGAGCAGGAAAGCAGGGGAUCGCAAGACCUUGCGCUGAUUGAGCGGCCGAUAUCAGAUUAGCUAGUUGGUGAGGUAAAGGCUCACCAAGGCGACGAUCUGUAGCGGGUCUGAGAGGAUGAUCCGCCACACUGGAACUGAGACACGGUCCAGACUCCUACGGGAGGCAGCAGUGGGGAAUUUUGGACAAUGGGCGUAAGCCUGAUCCAGCUAUGCCGCGUGAGUGAAGAAGGCCUCGG